This 562-nucleotide ribosomal RNA is filed under the name Entoloma clypeatum. Its description in RNAcentral is "eukaryotic LSU rRNA". It matches the Rfam family "Eukaryotic large subunit ribosomal RNA", at positions 51 to 612 of the family's 3401-position model. Lineage: Eukaryota; Fungi; Basidiomycota; Agaricomycetes; Agaricales; Entolomataceae. The record is from RNAcentral.
CGGAGGAAAAGAAACUAACAAGGAUUCCCCUAGUAACUGCGAGUGAAGCGGGAAAAGCUCAAANUUAAAAUCUGGUAGUCUUUGGCUGCCCGAGUUGUAAUCUAGAGAAGUGUUAUCCGCACUGGACCGUGUACAAGUCUCCUGGAAUGGAGCGUCAUAGAGGGUGAGAAUCCCGUCUUUGACACGGACUACCAGGGCUUUGUGAUGCGCUCUCAAAGAGUCGAGUUGUUUGGGAAUGCAGCUCUAAAUGGGUGGUAAAUUCCAUCUAAAGCUAAAUAUUGGCGAGAGACCGAUAGUGAACAAGUACCGUGAGGGAAAGAUGAAAAGAACUUUGGAAAGAGAGUUAAACAGUACGUGAAAUUGUUGAAAGGGAAACGCUUGAAGUCAGUCGUGUUGGCCAGGGAUCAACCUUGCUUCUUGCUUGGUGUACUUUCUGGUUAAUGGGUCAGCAUCAAUUUUGACCAGUGGAAAAAGACUAGGGGAAUGUGGCAUCUUCGGAUGUGUUAUAGCCCUUGGUNUCAUACACUGGUUGGGAUUGAGGAACUCAGCACGCCGCAAGGCC